CCUGCUUCUAGAGGCCUUGCAGAUGUGGCAGCUGUUUCACAUGUGUGUCAGUAGGUAGCAGAAAGGAAAGAAGCUAUGUCUAAGUUUAGUGCUCUGACCCAGGAGCAUCUGAAUGAUUAGUGGCCUAUCACU
Small nucleolar RNA from Arvicanthis niloticus (Nile rat), 132 nucleotides. RefSeq annotates it as small nucleolar RNA SNORA17. Lineage: Eukaryota; Metazoa; Chordata; Mammalia; Rodentia; Muridae. The record is from RefSeq and is a predicted model, not a curated record.